ACGUACACUUCUGCGGGAGGCAGCAGUGGGGAAUAUUGCACAAUGGGCGCAAGCCUGAUGCAGCCAUGCCGCGUGUAUGAAGAAGGCCUUCGGGUUGUAAAGUACUUUCAGCGGGGAGGAAGGCGAUAAGGUUAAUAACCUUGUCGAUUGACGUUACCCGCAGAAGAAGCACCGGCUAACUCCGUGCCAGCAGCCGCGGUAAUACGGAGGGUGCAAGCGUUAAUCGGAAUUACUGGGCGUAAAGCGCACGCAGGCGGUCUGUCAAGUCGGAUGUGAAAUCCCCGGGCUCAACCUGGCAACUGCAUUCAAAACUGGCAGGCUAGCGUCUUGUAGAGGGGGGUAGAAUUCCAGGUGUAGCGGUGAAAUACGUAGAUAUCUGGAGGAAUAACGGUGGCGAAGGCGGCCCCCUGGACAAAGACUGACGCUCAGGUGCGAAAGCGUGGGGAGCAAACAGGAUUAGAUACCCUUGUAGUCCCAUG
Molecule: ribosomal RNA, 479 nt
Filed under: uncultured organism
Description: partial 16S ribosomal RNA
Rfam family: Bacterial small subunit ribosomal RNA
Source: RNAcentral